GGAGGGUGCAAGCGUUGUUCGGAAUUAUUGGGCGUAAAGAGCGUGUAGGCGGCUUGGCAAGUCGGGUGUGAAAGCCCGGGGCCCAACCCCGGAAUUGCACUCGAAACUGCCUCGCUAGAGUCCCGGAGAGGAAGGCGGAAUUCUCGGUGUAGGGGUGAAAUCCGUAGAUAUCGGGAGGAACACCAGUGGCGAAGGCGGCCUUCUGGACGGUGACUGACGCUGAGACGCGAAAGCGUGGGGAGCAAACAGGAUUAGAUACCCUGGGUAGUCCACGCCGUAAACGUUGGGUGCUAGGUGUCGCGGGUAUUGACCCCCUGCGGUGCCGUCGUUAACGCAUUUAGCACCCCGCCUGGGGAGUACGGUCGCAAGGCUA
This 373-nucleotide ribosomal RNA is filed under the name uncultured organism. RNAcentral describes it as "partial 16S ribosomal RNA". It matches the Rfam family "Bacterial small subunit ribosomal RNA", at positions 527 to 896 of the family's 1533-position model. The record is from RNAcentral.